CUUCAACGAACCGAGCCACAAGGGCUGUUCGUCCGGGCGGUCCUGACCGUAGGUCGCGAUGAUGGCCUGGGCCUC
Molecule: antisense RNA, 75 nt
Filed under: Streptomyces sp. NRRL WC-3723
Lineage: Bacteria; Bacillati; Actinomycetota; Actinomycetes; Kitasatosporales; Streptomycetaceae
Description: ASpks sRNA
Rfam family: ASpks TB sRNA
Source: RNAcentral